GGGCGGUCGCCUCCUAAAAGGUAACGGAGGCGCUCAAAGGUUCCCUCAGAAUGGUUGGAAAUCAUUCAUAGAGUGUAAAGGCAUAAGGGAGCUUGACUGCGAGACCUACAAGUCGAGCAGGGUCGAAAGACGGACUUAGUGAUCCGGUGGUUCCGCAUGGAAGGGCCAUCGCUCAACGGAUAAAAGCUACCCCGGGGAUAACAGGCUUAUCUCCCCCAAGAGUUCACAUCGACGGGGAGGUUUGGCACCUCGAUGUCGGCUCAUCGCAUCCUGGGGCUGUAGUCGGUCCCAAGGGUUGGGCUGUUCGCCCAUUAAAGCGGUACGCGAGCUGGGUUCAGAACGUCGUGAGACAGUUCGGUCCCUAUCCGUCGUGGGCGUAGGAAAUUUGAGAGGAGCUGUCCUUAGUACGAGAGGACCGGGAUGGACAUACCUCUGGUGUACCAGUUGUCGUGCCAACGGCAUAGCUGGGUAGCUAUGUGUGGACGGGAUAAGUGCUGAAAGCAUCUAAGCAUGAAGCCCCCCUCAAGAUGAGAUUUCCCAACUUCGGUUAUAAGAUCCCUCAAAGAUGAUGAGGUUAAUAGGUUCGAGGUGGAAGCAUGGUGACAUGUGGAGCUGACGAAUACUAAUCGAUCGAAGACUUAAUCAA
This 646-nucleotide ribosomal RNA is filed under the name Staphylococcus aureus. Its description in RNAcentral is "partial 23S ribosomal RNA". It matches the Rfam family "Bacterial large subunit ribosomal RNA", at positions 2277 to 2925 of the family's 2925-position model. Lineage: Bacteria; Bacillati; Bacillota; Bacilli; Caryophanales; Staphylococcaceae. The record is from RNAcentral.